AACGCAUAUUGCGCCCUUUGGUAUUCCGAAGGGCAUGCCUGUUCGAGCGUCAUUAUCAACCAUCAAGCUUGGCUUGUAAUUGGACCUAUUGGCUGGGGGAUGCCCCGACCGGUCUGAAAGAUAAUGAACGGGGUGCUCAAUAGCCUUGGAUGCAACGAGCUUUUUAAGCACGCAUCGAACGGUUGUUUGGCCCCGUCUUCUCCAUAUAUUUUCUACGGUUGACCUCGGAUCAGGUAGGAAUACCCGCUGAACUUAA
This 256-nucleotide unclassified non-coding RNA is filed under the name uncultured Chaetothyriales. RNAcentral describes it as "sequence contains 5.8S rRNA gene, ITS2, 28S rRNA gene". The stretch from base 1 to 52 matches the Rfam family "5.8S ribosomal RNA", at positions 103 to 154 of the family's 154-position model. The record is from RNAcentral. Lineage: Eukaryota; Fungi; Ascomycota; Eurotiomycetes; Chaetothyriales.